GACAUCGCUGGACGGGUGUGGAUCUUGUUCGUGAGACUCGUAAUGAACAGGUCAUCGGUUCGAUUCCGAUAGGCGGCUCCA
This 81-nucleotide transfer RNA is filed under the name Actinomadura viridis. RNAcentral's name for it is "tRNA-OTHER". The record is from RNAcentral. Lineage: Bacteria; Bacillati; Actinomycetota; Actinomycetes; Streptosporangiales; Thermomonosporaceae.